Molecule: ribosomal RNA, 629 nt
Filed under: Phlogis sp. YW-2017
Lineage: Eukaryota; Metazoa; Arthropoda; Insecta; Hemiptera; Cicadellidae
Description: eukaryotic LSU rRNA
Rfam family: Eukaryotic large subunit ribosomal RNA
Source: RNAcentral
CCAACUGUCCCUAUCUACUAUCUAGCGAAACCACUGCCAAGGGAACGGGCUUGGAAAAAUCAGCGGGGAAAGAAGACCCUGUUGAGCUUGACUCUAGUCUGGCACUGUAAGGAGACAUGAGAGGUGUAGAAUAAGUGGGAGACGGUAACCAUCCCGUCGCCGGUGAAAUACCACUACUUUCAUCGUUUCUUUACUUACUUGGUUAGGCGGAAGGCGUUCGUCGAGGGUAUCUUACCCCGGCGGUACGGUCUUCUCGCACCAAGCGUUCAAGGGUUGUCGGCGGACAGAAGUGCGGGUCGUCAGUCGGUGAGUCGUGAACCAGGUUCUCCUGGCCACGGCCCGACGUCGUCUUUGUACGCUCUGAACCCGACCGGCAAACACUCCCUAGCGUGAUCCGAUCCGAGGACAUGCCAGGCGGGGAGUUUGAUGGGGCGGUACAUCUGUCAAAGAAUAACGCAGGUGUCCUAAGGCCAGCUCAGCGAGGACAGAAACCUCGCGUAGAGCAAAAGGGCAAAUGCGGCUUGAUCCCGAUGUUCAGUACGCAUAGGGCUGCGAAAGCACGGCCUAUCGAUCCUUUUGGCUUGAAGAGUUUUCAGCAAGAGGUGUCAGAAAAGUUACCACAGGGAUAA